This 83-nucleotide transfer RNA is filed under the name Natranaerobius trueperi. It matches the Rfam family "tRNA". Rfam says of the family: Transfer RNA (tRNA) molecules are approximately 80 nucleotides in length. Their secondary structure includes four short double-helical elements and three loops (D, anti-codon, and T loops). Further hydrogen bonds mediate the characteristic L-shaped molecular structure. tRNAs have two regions of fundamental functional importance: the anti-codon, which is responsible for specific mRNA codon recognition, and the 3' end, to which the tRNAs corresponding amino acid is attached (by aminoacyl-tRNA synthetases). tRNAs cope with the degeneracy of the genetic code in two manners: having more than one tRNA (with a specific anti-codon) for a particular amino acid; and 'wobble' base-pairing, i.e. permitting non-standard base-pairing at the 3rd anti-codon position. Lineage: Bacteria; Bacillati; Bacillota; Clostridia; Natranaerobiales; Natranaerobiaceae. The record is from Rfam by way of RNAcentral.
GCGGAAGUGGUGGAAUAGGCAUACACGCAGUCUUGAGGGGGCUGUGCCCAAUGGGCUUGCGGGUUCGAAUCCCGCCUUCCGCA